Molecule: long non-coding RNA, 720 nt
Organism: Mustela erminea (ermine)
Lineage: Eukaryota; Metazoa; Chordata; Mammalia; Carnivora; Mustelidae
Exons: 3
Source: RefSeq, a predicted model, not a curated record
CUCCUUACUCACAUGUGCCCGGUCUGACUCAGGACUGGCUUGGUUCCACCAGGAGCCCCACUCAUGUCCCUACCUCCUUCUGCAAGAACAUGAAACUUUUUAAACAGGUCAUAGAGUCUCCACCACAAGGCUAAAUUCUGUCUUGCACACAGCUGUUAACAGAGCCUCUCCCGCGUGCCCGGAGCUUUGCACACAAAGAUGAAAAGCUUUGAGCCCCAGUCUGGAGCAGCGAGCCCCUGGCCACAGAGCAGGCUGUGGGCCGCAAAGCCAAACACGAACUGAAGGAACGCCAACCAAAAUCCUCUUCCGUCUUUUCUCUGCCACGGUUCUACUUCUGGACCUCACGUCCUUUCUUCCAGAGACAUCUCCUAGGUCAUGCUGCAGCGGCUCUCAGGACCGGAAGCGGUGUGCUCCUGGGCAAACGCACGGGGAGAGGCAGAACUCCUGACUUGAGGAAUAGGCACACUGGGUACAUUUACGUUCUUGAAAGCUACUGCAAGGAGGCCCUCCAAAGAGAGCAGACACUUGACAUUGGUAAAAGCAAUGUGCGCAAGUGUUUCCUUGGCUCACUCGUUUGCUUUUCCUUUUCCAAACCAAUGUACGUUUGUGGUCACAAGUAAAACAACACAAUACAAAGAUGUCGGUGUUUGGGUCUCUCUUCUUGUGAGGGCACCAGAUCGGACAUCUCCCUCUUACACCUCCUUCUCCGGUCUGUCUCCU